Talpa occidentalis (Iberian mole) is the source of this 305-nucleotide long non-coding RNA. RefSeq lists it as uncharacterized. The record is from RefSeq and is a predicted model, not a curated record. Lineage: Eukaryota; Metazoa; Chordata; Mammalia; Eulipotyphla; Talpidae. The transcript has 3 exons.
CUUUAGGGCACUCAGACUGGUAGGAGGACUUGUUAAUGCUUGUCUGAGAGGCUGGGCCAUACAGACAAACCUGUCAAACAAGGGGAAAUUGCAGGAAAUAAGGAUGACAGAGACAAGACCUCAUUCCCAUGAAGGACUUCAAAUGAUAGCCAACAAACUGGGGAGAACUCAGACCUCUAGACCUCUUGUCACCCUGCUAGUUAGCCAGGUCUCUUGGAAAUCAAACAUCUGAACCUGCUGAGGAGGAAUGGAGAGAAGAAUGUAUGAGCAUUGCUACUAUUUUGCUGUUUUCAAGCUCAGUCUGA